Molecule: long non-coding RNA, 1148 nt
Filed under: Cervus hanglu yarkandensis (Yarkand deer)
Lineage: Eukaryota; Metazoa; Chordata; Mammalia; Artiodactyla; Cervidae
Description: lncRNA (ENSCHYG00000004448.1)
Source: RNAcentral
AUAAAUAGAUCCAAGUUCGGAUUUCUUGAGCACUAAUGCCCUGCUAUUGCUGGGUUAUGUGAAACCCUUUCUUAUGUUGAACACAAGAAGCCCAUGAUUAUUGGUACCACAGAUUCUCACAUUCUUAAUCAGUUCCACCUGGCCAAUAAACAGUAAAGCCAGGACAGCUUCUCUUCUGUGUGGCUUUCCUACUUUAUGGGUAAUAAAGCUGUCCUCAGUGUGAUUUAGGAGUCCCUUUGAUGCCUGCUAGUUUACUGUAUUGGUAUUUCAGGGGUGUUGGCAGUCAGCGGUGAGACUGCACUCCUGGCAUCUCAGAACUGUGGCAGUGAGCUCACCCGGCUAAAUAGCGGGGGAAACACAGCUGAUCUACAAUCGCAUUGGAGCAGCAAUGCAUCACUGGAGUUGAGGCCCUUUAAUGCUCACUGCUGACCCCUGUCUUCAUAGCAUCGUGCUGAUGACCGUUCGUGGUUUAAAGAUCAUAUUUGCUCAUUUUAAAGACUGUGGUUUGGACACCAAACAGCUGAAACUGGAAAUAAUUAAACCAAGGAACUCAGCCUCCCUUGUCCGUACCAGCAGGAGUGGCAUCGGCCAGGUGAGUCCUGCCAGCUGUGUAGAGCUGGUGGCGGUCCUGGUGGAUUGCUGUGUGUGUUCUGACGAGCUGGUGCUCAUUCAUAGUGUCGUGAUCGCCACAGAGCGGCAGGGAGUUUUCAUUUGUUCACACCAGAAACUUGCGUGUGCUGCUCUCUCUUUCUGCUCAAUUUUACUUCCUCUAAUACUGAAUUCUCAGACAUAUUAGACCUAGUACUCUUCGUAUAUGUUACUCGGUGACUUCUAAAAACUCCAGAAUAGAGUUGAUCACAACUUCAUUUGUGUUUUUACUUUACAAAGGAAACAGCCUUAUUCAGGUGCUUACCAAUGUCUAGCAUAAUUCCUGAGCACUGGGGACUUUAGCUGUGAACUUUUUUUUUUUUAAAUUAAAAAAUAAUUGUUAAACUUGCCUUGUACUUUACAAUUUUUACCCUUUUGUUCUUUGGGGCAAUUAUAUUUUAGUCAGAUGUUAUAGAGUCUAACUAGGACCUUCUACCUUUCUAUAUAUCCUAGAUUUUUUAAAAUAUUCUUUCAUCUUUCAAUUAAUGAAUUCUUCCAAC